Molecule: ribosomal RNA, 313 nt
Filed under: uncultured bacterium
Lineage: Bacteria
Description: bacterial SSU rRNA
Rfam family: Bacterial small subunit ribosomal RNA
Source: RNAcentral
GACGAACGCUGGCGGCGCGCCUAACACAUGCAAGUCGAACGGAACUUAAGAGAGCUUGCUUUCUUAAGUUUAGUGGCGAACGGGUGAGUAACGCGUGAGUAACCUGCCCUGGAGUGGGGGACAACAGUUGGAAACGACUGCUAAUACCGCGAUAAGCGCACAGUAUCGCAUGAUACAGUGUGAAAAACUCCGGUGGUAUAAGAUGGACCCGCGUACUGAUUAGCUUGUUGGCGGGGUAACCGGCCCACCAAGGCGACGAUCAGUAGCCGGCCUGAGAGGGUGACGGCCACAUUGGGACUGAGACACGGCCCAA